RNAcentral lists this ribosomal RNA (843 nucleotides) under uncultured bacterium. Its description in RNAcentral is "bacterial SSU rRNA". It matches the Rfam family "Bacterial small subunit ribosomal RNA", at positions 8 to 828 of the family's 1533-position model. The record is from RNAcentral.
AGAGUUUGUUCCUGGCUCAGGAUGAACGCUGGCGGCGUGCCUAACACAUGCAAGUCGAGCGGGAAUCAACUGAUUGAAACUUCGGUAGAUUGAAGUUGAGGAGAGCGGCGGACGGGUGAGUAACGCGUAGGCAACCUGCCCUUUACACAGGGAUAGCCACUGGAAACGGUGAUUAAAACCUGAUGAUACCAAAGUUCCACAUGCUACUUUGGUCAAAGAUUUAUCGGUAAAGGAUGGGCCUGCGUCUGAUUAGCUAGUUGGUGAGGUAACGGCCCACCAAGGCAACGAUCAGUAGCCGACCUGAGAGGGUAACCGGCCACACUGGGACUGAGACACGGCCCAGACUCCUACGGGAGGCAGCAGUAGGGAAUCUUCCGCAAUGGACGCAAGUCUGACGGAGCAAUGCCGCGUGAAUGAAGAAGGUCUUCGGAUCGUAAAAUUCUGUUGUUAGAGAAGAACAAGGAGUAGGUAACUACUACUCCCUUGACGGUAUUUAACCAGAAAGCCACGGCUAACUACGUGCCAGCAGCCGCGGUAAUACGUAGGUGGCAAGCGUUGUCCGGAUUUAUUGGGCGUAAAGGGAGCGCAGGCGGUGACUUAAGUCUGAUGUGAAAGCCCACGGCUCAACCGUGGAAGGUCAUUGGAAACUGGGUCACUUGAAUAUAGAAGAGGAAAGUGGAAUUCCAUGUGUAGCGGUGAAAUGCGUAGAUAUAUGGAGGAACACCAGUGGCGAAGGCGACUUUCUGGUCUAUUAUUGACGCUGAGGCUCGAAAGCAUGGGUAGCAAACAGGAUUAGAUACCCUGGUAGUCCAUGCCGUAAACGAUGAGUGCUAGGUGUUGGGG